This 520-nucleotide ribosomal RNA is filed under the name uncultured Glomus. RNAcentral's name for it is "SSU rRNA". It matches the Rfam family "Eukaryotic small subunit ribosomal RNA", at positions 569 to 1089 of the family's 1831-position model. Lineage: Eukaryota; Fungi; Glomeromycota; Glomeromycetes; Glomerales; Glomeraceae. The record is from RNAcentral.
AGCAGCCGCGGUAAUUCCAGCUCCAAUAGCGUAUAUUAAAGUUGUUGCAGUUAAAAAGCUCGUAGUUGAAUUUCGGGGUCAGUAGAUUGGUCGUGCCACUGGUAUGUACUGGUCUUACUGGCUCCUCCUUCCUGAUGAACCGUAAUGCCAUUAAUUUGGUGUUGCGGGGAAACUGGACUGUUACUUUGAAAAAAUUGAGUGUUUAAAGCAGGCUAACGCUUGAAUACAUUAGCAUGGAAUAAUGAAAUAGGACGUUCGAUCUUAUUUUGUUGGUUUCUAGGAUUUGACGUAAUGAUUAAUAGGGAUAGUUGGGGGGCAUUAGUAUUCAAUUGUCAGAGGUGAAAAUUCUUGGAUUUAUUGAAGACUAACUACUGCGAAAGCAUUUGCCAAGGAUGUUUUCAUUAAUCAAGAACGAAAGUUAGGGAUCGGAGACGAUCAGAUACCGUCGUAGUCUUAACCAUAAACCUAUGCCGACUAGGGAUCGGAUGAUGUUAUUUUUAANGUACUCAUUCGGCGCCUU